Triticum aestivum (bread wheat) is the source of this 2334-nucleotide long non-coding RNA. RefSeq lists it as uncharacterized. NCBI's taxonomy places the organism in Eukaryota, Viridiplantae, Streptophyta, Magnoliopsida, Poales, Poaceae. The record is from RefSeq and is a predicted model, not a curated record. The transcript has 10 exons.
AUUCCCCCGCGGUGAAAAGAGGCCACCCAUCUCCUCCCAAUUCCCAGCCGCCGCCGCCACCACAUCCUCUCUCCUCCCCUGACGUCUCCUUUUUCCCCUCCUCUCCUCGCAACGGCCUCCUCCUUCCUGCACCGCCUCUUCCUCUCUUGCUGAUGGCGCCACCCGCCGGUCGAUGCCUCCUGUCUUGCCCUUUCCAUUGGGAGGUGGAGAUGGGAAGAUGGCGUUGGAGGAGGAAAACGAGAUCCAGGCAGUGGAAAGAUGGCGUUGGAGGAGGGAGCACGGGUGGGCGCCGCAGCUGAAGCACGAGUGGCCUGGUUGUGGCGGAGCAUGGCGGGAGUCCGGGCGGCGUCGUGGUCGUGGUCAAGAGGAGAAGCACGGGUGGCCGCCGUAGCUGAGCUUCUAUGUAACAUAGUUCCGAUGAAUCCUCUGCCGCAUCUGGCCUCUGCAGAUUCGUUUUUGUAUCUACCUAUAAGGCGUUCGAUGAAAAUCCAAGCUGCUGCAGUGGCAGAUUACGCCGUCCGCUUGCAUGCUGAGCCAUGUUGCGCUCUCCUGUUCUUUUUUGUUGGCUUGACGUACGCACUGGCAACCUCUUAUGUGAGGGCUUCAGCAUGCCUCUAUUUGAGAGAAAAGAUAUGGAGAAGCGGAUUUUCAGAGUGUCUCAGGCACACAAGCUAAAGGUUCACCAAGUUCAGGGAAAGAAAAGUUUCCCUAGACAGGUGGCGGCGGCGGUCAAGACAAGUGCGGCGUUGUGAGCAACGGCCCUCGAUCGUCUUCCUUGUGGAUUCAGGUACACGUCGUCCAUCUUGGCCCAUCGUGGGUGUUGGCGGGCGACCAGAGGCGGCUACAGCAGGCCAGUGUCUGUGAUCAAGACUGACACCGGGAAGGCUGCCGGUCUACAGUUGUGCGCUCGAUUCAAAUGAUUAUUCUCCGUUCUUUUCCUCAGAACUACAUAUGAGAGGUACAAUGGAUUGGCCAAGAUACUCAAUUAAGCUAUUCGAUUUAAGAUAAUGGAUGCAUUUUGAUGGAUCACAGCAUGCUCUAUGGUGUUGUGGAUCACCUGGAUAUCUUCUGAUAUUCAUCUUUCCAUGCUGCAACAAGGAGGGUGUAUGAGCUUAGAGAGUUAGUGUCCUUUCUCGUGACUGUUCAAAUAAGGUGUUUUUUUUUGUGAUCACAAAUUUGAUCAUAUAGUGUCCUAUAUGAUUCAUGUUUCUUAUUUAAUUACAAGUGAUGAAGACAUAUGUUGCAGCUGAAAUGAUUGCCCUUGCAUCGUGCUAAUUAAAUCACAUCUGCAUUUUGAUAAUCCCAGAAUCUGAUUAUUAGGCAUAGAAGUGAGAAAACUUCCACGAUGAAGUGACUGCUUCACAUGCACAUGGCUUGCCUGAUAUAAUCACGACCCCUGUUCAAGAAUUCAUCUGAUUAACCAGUUAACUUGCUGCUUAAUCCCUACUCGUAGGGUCACCGAGUAGCCAGUUAACUGAUUAAUCGCUUGAGUAAUUGAUUAAAUGGCCGAUUAACUUGCCGAUUAGCCUAUUAAUCCCCUACUCGUCAGCUAACCGAGCAGCUACCAGUUAAUGAUUUCCUCAACAAUGAUCACGACCUUCGUGUGUGAUCUGGAGAGGCCUGAGAUAGUUCAGGGUCUUGAACAUGGGCAAAAGCAGUCGACAUGACUGAUAUUACCGUACGAGUGCAUCAGAUGAAGCUUCUUGAUUACCUGCAGAAAAUCAGCACCGGGCAGGUGUUCGGGACUGUCGUUGCUGUUGUCCACACCGUGGAGUUCCAAAAGAGGGGUCUGCCCCAUGCACUUAUCCUUGUUUGGCAGCAGAAGAACAGUGCCCAGGGAUCUAAACUGACUGAUGUUGAUGAUGGUACUCCUGCCACUGCACUUGCUAAGACCAUGGAAACUACACUUGCUCAGCCACCAGACUUAAAAUGGGUGCUGUUGCUACUACAAAGACCGGUUCAUCAAAAAAAAAUUAGUAGCUGAUCCAUGCUUGGGGAUAAGCAUGCGUGGUUGAUUUGUAUAUAGAAGCUUGAUGCCUUGACCCUCGCUACUUCCACCCUCACUGCUAAGGGCGCCGUCCACAAGAACAAGUGAAGACUGCUUCAUCGUCGCUGUUUUCAAGACCUUAUCUUUGCACCCUUUUGAACAAACUACUGCUGUGUUGCUGCCGUGUUCACAAAUGAGGUCUUUGGCGCUCAUAGAGUCAUGCCAAACAUUUGUUGAUGCAUUUCCCUGUUUAAGAUCCGAACUAAGCUACUUCCAUGUCUUAUAAAUGCCAUCGUUUGCCUUUUGAACGAUGCUAUGUUGCUUUUCCAACACUGCGGUUAUGCCCC